The sequence is a ribosomal RNA, 545 nucleotides long. It matches the Rfam family "Eukaryotic large subunit ribosomal RNA", at positions 85 to 609 of the family's 3401-position model.
AACGGCGAGUGAAGCGGGAAGAGCUCAAAUUUGAAAUCUGGCGGUCUACGGCCGUCCGAGUUGUAAUCUAGAGAGGUGUUUUCCGUGCCGGACCGUGUACAAGUCCCUUGGAACAGGGCGUCAUAGAGGGUGAGAAUCCCGUCCAUGACACGGACUACCGGUGCUCUGUGAUACACCUUCGAAGAGUCGAGUUGUUUGGGAAUGCAGCUCAAAAUGGGUGGUAAAUUCCAUCUAAAGCUAAAUACAGGCGAGAGACCGAUAGCGAACAAGUACCGUGAGGGAAAGAUGAAAAGAACUUUGGAAAGAGAGUUAAACAGUACGUUAAAUUGUUGAAAGGGAAACGCUUGAAGUCAGUCGCGUCUGUCAGGACUCAGCCUUGCUUCUGCAUGGUGCAUUUCCUGGUGGAUGGGCCAGCAUCGAUUUUGGUCGCCGGAAAAGGGCGGGAGGAAUGUGGCAGCUUGCUGUGUUAUAGCCUCCUGUCGUACACGGUGGUUGGGAUCGAGGACUGCAGCACGCCUUUGGUCGGGGUUCGCCCACGCCACGUG